Brachypodium distachyon (stiff brome) is the source of this 822-nucleotide long non-coding RNA. RefSeq lists it as uncharacterized. The record is from RefSeq and is a predicted model, not a curated record. Lineage: Eukaryota; Viridiplantae; Streptophyta; Magnoliopsida; Poales; Poaceae. The transcript has 2 exons.
AUACAAAAAAAAUUGUUUAGCCUCAUCAGUGUCGGGCCUAACUGUUAUGCCCGUCAUUGAUGUUACUUUCCGGGCCGACCAACCCAUGUCCUUCCUCUCUGCCGCCGCCACCUCCUCCCCCUUCUCUUUUCCACUGGCCCGAGCGCCUCCCCCCUUCUCUUCUCUGCAACCGCGAGCUCGUCCCCCCGGUCUUCUCUUCUGUCCUUGCUCCGGCCGACCGGCCGCCGCCACCAACCUCCGGAUCCCAUUUCCCUCCCUCCCUCCCGAUCUCCCCCGUCCCCCACUCCUCUCCAUCUCCGGCCAUCUCACCCGCCCCCACUCCUCUCUCUCUCACCCGUGGACGCGCCUCCUGUCUCACCCGACCACGACGCCACGCCGCAAGGGAGCGUCGGCCUCGACCCCGCGCGCGGCCGGAUCCGGCGUCCCCUACCCCGGUGGCCGCUGGAUCCCCGACCCCGACCGUUGCCGCCGGCGUCUCCGAUCCGGGCAGCGCCAUGGAGUCCCGGCCAUGGAGUCAUGGAGUCGCGAGCAGCGUCAUGGAGUCCCGGCCGCCGCCGCUGUGGUGUGGUAUGGUGUCUGCCGCCGACGCCAUGGAGACGAGGGUGGCGCCUCCACGUUCGUCCCCGAUGUCGACUUUGGGCUGCAAUGAAUUUGUCUUUUUUUUAUCUGUAUGCAUCUGUCCUCCGGUGAUUUGCUAUUGUACGGUGUCCAAAAUCCGGAUUCUUUGCUUACCUAUUUGUUGUGAUUUGUUGCGUCAUUUGGUUAAUUAGUUAGAUUUGCGAUUUGGAGAAUCGAAACGUGAGGGCCAUUUCUUCUUUUUUU